CGGGAGCUGGCCUAAUUGGGUAAGGCGCUUGGUUUGGGACCAAGAGAUUGGCGGUUCAAAUCCGCCGCUCCCGA
Molecule: transfer RNA, 74 nt
Filed under: candidate division TA06 bacterium DG_78
Lineage: Bacteria
Also listed under: 1 other name
Description: tRNA-Pro
Rfam family: tRNA
About the family: Transfer RNA (tRNA) molecules are approximately 80 nucleotides in length. Their secondary structure includes four short double-helical elements and three loops (D, anti-codon, and T loops).
Source: RNAcentral